CAAACCGAGCUCUCCUCCGCGGCAUCCAGGCUCGCUCAGAAAUGCAGAGAAGCUGCCAGCUGACUCGCAAGCCUCUCUCCCUUCAGCCUUGUUUGAAGAGGCCCCCGGGUUCUUGGAAGUGAGGGAGCCCAGCGCUGGGAAGCCACGGGAAGAUGUUCCGCACAUGGAGCCAGGGGCAGGCGCAGCUGCUGCGGGAUCCUCCGGGCAUCUGCAACCAUCAAAGCCUCCCUGGUGCCUCUGACCUGGCAGCUGGAGCCAGGGGAAAGCACCAUGGCUUUGUAUGGAGUCCUUCCUCAGACAUUUUGCACAUCUACAGCUUUUAUGGUGUGCUGUGGUUGUGGGUGCAAAGCUCACAAGCAGUACCUACAGCAUUCACCAUUUGGAGUCCAAGGAAAGCCGAUUUCUGUGAUCUUUAUUCUGGAAAGACACACAAAGUUUAAGUGAAAGGGUUUCUGGUGUCCUUUCCAGUGGAGGGGUUGUUAAUGUCUGGUGCUGUGGGCCAAGAAAAGAAGGAACAAGCUUGAAAAUCCCCACAUCCUCCUGUAGGACCAGAUCCUUCCUUUGGAUGUGGUUCCUAUUGAGUGCACCAGAUAUUGCCCAAGUGAAGCUAAGCACGGAGCUUGACCUGGUGAUUUUGCAAGCCCCAGUUUAAGUUUCAUGUGUACUUUUAUCCAGUUAAGCAAACAGCUGUUUCUCCUGUGAGAUAAAUGCCCUCCUCAGAGAUGUCUCCAGGCGAUGUUUGGCUGCUCUGGCUUUUCUCCUGCUUCUCACAAACCCUCUGUCUGACCACUGGGUGUCAGUAAAAGACUGCGAAGUGAUUUUCUGCAAUUAAAUAUACAUGGAUUCCUCUCAGGCUCUGUGGGUGUUCAUUUCUUAAGGUGGCCAAGGCAAAUUUGAGAAUACAACUGACACACACACACACCAGAAGCGUAGAAUAAUUAACAAAAGCAGCUCAGAUCAGUAAGUUUUUCCUGAAUCAUGUCACUAUUCUAUUUGAAUUCAUUCAUACUAUCAGGCAACUAAAUAAAUUAAAGAAAAAUAGUUAUGUUUUUUUUUUU
RNAcentral lists this long non-coding RNA (1058 nucleotides) under Parus major (Great Tit). Its description in RNAcentral is "lncRNA (ENSPMJG00000000524.1)". The record is from RNAcentral. Lineage: Eukaryota; Metazoa; Chordata; Aves; Passeriformes; Paridae.